RNAcentral lists this transfer RNA (61 nucleotides) under Marmota marmota marmota (Alpine marmot). It matches the Rfam family "tRNA", at positions 6 to 65 of the family's 71-position model. Rfam says of the family: Transfer RNA (tRNA) molecules are approximately 80 nucleotides in length. Their secondary structure includes four short double-helical elements and three loops (D, anti-codon, and T loops). The record is from Rfam by way of RNAcentral. RNAcentral also lists the same sequence under 3 other names. Lineage: Eukaryota; Metazoa; Chordata; Mammalia; Rodentia; Sciuridae.
UGUAGCUCAGUGGUAGAGCAUGUAACUAACAUGUACAAGGGCCUGGGUUUGAUCCCCACCA